This 253-nucleotide ribosomal RNA is filed under the name uncultured bacterium. RNAcentral describes it as "partial 16S ribosomal RNA". It matches the Rfam family "Bacterial small subunit ribosomal RNA", at positions 524 to 776 of the family's 1533-position model. The record is from RNAcentral.
UACGUAGGUGGCGAGCGUUAUCCGGAUUUACUGGGUGUAAAGGGAGCGUAGACGGCAUGGCAAGUCAGAUGUGAAAGCCCGGGGCUCAACCCCGGGACUGCAUUUGAAACUGUCAGGCUGGAGUGCAGGAGAGGUAAGCGGAAUUCCUAGUGUAGCGGUGAAAUGCGUAGAUAUUAGGAGGAACACCAGUGGCGAAGGCGGCUUACUGGACUGUAACUGACGUUGAGGCUCGAAAGCGUGGGGAGCAAACAGG